GAUGAACGCUAGCUACAGGCUUAACACAUGCAAGUCGAGGGGAAACGAUAUUGGAAGCUUGCUUCCGAUAGGCGUCGACCGGCGCACGGGUGAGUAACGCGUAUCCAACCUGCCCACCACUUGGGGAUAACCUUGCGAAAGUAAGACUAAUACCCAAUGAUAUCUCUAGAAGACAUCUGAAAGGGAUUAAAGAUUUAUCGGUGAUGGAUGGGGAUGCGUCUGAUUAGCUUGUUGGCGGGGUAACGGCCCACCAAGGCUACGAUCAGUAGGGGUUCUGAGAGGAAGGUCCCCCACAUUGGAACUGAGACACGGUCCAAACUCCUACGGGAGGCAGCAGUGAGGAAUAUUGGUCAAUGGGCGAGAGCCUGAACCAGCCAAGUAGCGUGCAGGAAGACGGCCCUAUGGGUUGUAAACUGCUUUUAUAAGGGAAUAAAGUGAGUCUCGUGAGACUUUUUGCAUGUACCUUAUGAAUAAGGACCGGCCAAUUCCGUGCCAGCCGCCGCAGUAA
Molecule: ribosomal RNA, 508 nt
Filed under: uncultured bacterium
Lineage: Bacteria
Description: partial 16S ribosomal RNA
Rfam family: Bacterial small subunit ribosomal RNA
Source: RNAcentral